GAAUUAAUCACGAGUUAAGGUGCCCCGAGUGUAGAACAAGGGGAGAAUAGGGAAUCACGUGUGAAUCGUGGACUGUCGCGCAACUGUAGAUCACCGCGAAAAGUUUCGAUAAGUAAAUCCACUUUUUCAAUCAAAUGAAAUGGGAAGGAUAUCGGAAUGGUGAAAGUCAGGAUACCUGCCUUGCCUCGUCAUUGGCA
This 197-nucleotide non-coding RNA is filed under the name Bacteroidales bacterium. The record is from RNAcentral. Lineage: Bacteria; Pseudomonadati; Bacteroidota; Bacteroidia; Bacteroidales.